RNAcentral lists this ribosomal RNA (440 nucleotides) under uncultured bacterium. Its description in RNAcentral is "partial 16S ribosomal RNA". It matches the Rfam family "Bacterial small subunit ribosomal RNA", at positions 338 to 795 of the family's 1533-position model. The record is from RNAcentral.
CCUACGGGUGGCAGCAGUGGGGGAUAUUGCACAAUGGGGGGAACCCUGAUGCAGCGACGCCGCGUGAGCGAUGAAGUAUUUCGGUAUGUAAAGCGCUAUCAGCAGGGAAGAAAAUGACGGUACCUGACUAAGAAGCACCGGCUAACUACGUGCCAGAAGCCGCGGUAAUACGUAGGGGGCAAGAGUGAUACGGAUUUACUGGGUGUAAAGGGAGUGUAGACGGCAGUGCAAGUCUGAAGUGAAAGGCAAGGGCUCAACCUUUGGACUGGUUUGGAAACUGUGCUGCUGGAGUGUCGGAGAGGCAAGUGGGAUGCCUAGUGUAGCGGUGAAAUGCGUAGAUAUUAGGAGGAACACCAGUGGCGAAGGCGGCUUGCUGGACGAUGACUGACGUUGAGGCUCGAAAGCGUGGGGAGCAAACAGGAUUAGAUACCCCUGUAGUC